UAAAUGGGGAACGUCGUCAGCUGCUGCCAAGCACAGGUGUAGGUGUACAGGAGCCAGUAAAGCGGAGCGAACGUCACACUUGGCGGAUAGGAUAGGUAUAAUACCCUACCUGCAGUUUUGAAAUUAUUCAUUUCAAUAGAAUCGAUCAAGCGGACUACGCUCGCGUUGAUUCCCUGGAAACAAUGGAUGAAAUAUUACAAAUUAAGGUCAACUGCAGUGCAGCUUCCCCAGAUAUUGAGAUGCGCCGAGAUAACCAGCCGUAUUCCGUACGGAGGUAAGAAAAAACGUGUGAUACCUGCAGUCGACGGUUGUCGAAACGAAUUCCGAUGUUGAAACGAAAAAGUCGGAUGAGAAAAAGAUGAGGAGAAAGUAAGAGUGGA
RNAcentral lists this unclassified non-coding RNA (380 nucleotides) under Athalia rosae (coleseed sawfly). RNAcentral describes it as "misc RNA ENSAEAG00005008501.1". The record is from RNAcentral. Lineage: Eukaryota; Metazoa; Arthropoda; Insecta; Hymenoptera; Athaliidae.